This 90-nucleotide transfer RNA is filed under the name Xanthomonas theicola. RNAcentral's name for it is "tRNA-Leu". The record is from RNAcentral. Lineage: Bacteria; Pseudomonadati; Pseudomonadota; Gammaproteobacteria; Lysobacterales; Lysobacteraceae.
GCCUGGAGUGCCUCGGCGCAGUGUCGAUUCUUCGGCUUAAAAUCCGCCGGGGGCGACCCCAUGCCGGUUCGAUUCCGGCUCCGGGCACCA